GAACGAUGACGAAACAGCUUGCUGUUUCUGAUUAGUGGCGGACGGGUGAGUAAUGUAUAGGGAUCUGCCUGACAGUGGGGGACAACAGCCGGAAACGGCUGCUAAUACCGCAUACGCUCUACGGAGGAAAGUGGGGGACCUUUCGGGGCCUCACGCUGACAGAUGAACCUAUAUCAGAUUAGCUAGUUGGUGGGGUAAUGGCUUACCAAGGCGACGAUCUGUAGCUGGUCUGAGAGGAUGAUCAGCCACACUGGGACUGAGACACGGCCCAGACUCCUACGGGAGGCAGCAGUGGGGAAUAUUGGACAAUGGGGGCAACCCUGAUCCAGCAAUGCCGCGUGUGUGAAGAAGGCCUUCGGGUUGUAAAGCACUUUCAAUAGGGAGGAAAAGCUAUGCGUUAAUAGCGUAUAGCCGUGA
RNAcentral lists this ribosomal RNA (417 nucleotides) under uncultured Methylophaga sp. Its description in RNAcentral is "bacterial SSU rRNA". It matches the Rfam family "Bacterial small subunit ribosomal RNA", at positions 64 to 477 of the family's 1533-position model. Lineage: Bacteria; Pseudomonadati; Pseudomonadota; Gammaproteobacteria; Thiotrichales; Piscirickettsiaceae. The record is from RNAcentral.